This is a non-coding RNA of Pelobates cultripes (western spadefoot toad), 307 nucleotides long. The record is from the annotation of a GenBank genome assembly. NCBI's taxonomy places the organism in Eukaryota, Metazoa, Chordata, Amphibia, Anura, Pelobatidae.
GGACCACUGUGACCGGGUACCAGCUGCCACAUUUUGCGGCACUGGCCUGUCGGCAAACCGCCGGGGCCACAUUUUAACAGGUCCAUUGGGUUGCCCAUGCUGUCAGGGCCACCUGAUGGAUAUGGAUUGUGAGAGGGCCCGGUCAGCGCUGGGUGCUUUAACAGUGCGACCGAGCCCCCUAUGAUGACAUCACAGAGCUGGGAGGAAGUGACUCCCGGUCACUCCUACCAGCUAUCAGCCCACGCGGGAGGAAGCAGGAAGGAGGAGGGAGUCAGAGUGGGAACUCUGACUCCCAUCAGGCUGAGCC